RNAcentral lists this long non-coding RNA (2116 nucleotides) under Sus scrofa (pig). RNAcentral's name for it is "lncRNA (ENSSSCG00040046118.1)". The record is from RNAcentral. Lineage: Eukaryota; Metazoa; Chordata; Mammalia; Artiodactyla; Suidae.
GGCGGCGAGGCCGGGGGCUGUGGACCGGCCCGCCGGGGAGGGGCCAGGGAGAGGGGGGCGGCCCCUCGGUCAGCGCGGCCCGGAGGCCAGACCCGGUGCCCAGCUCCCCAGCGGGCGCCUGCCCUGGGCUGUAGUACGGGAGCCUCGGCAGUCUCGGGCGAGAGUUUCGGGAGAGGGUCCCGAGAUCCCGCCUUGCGGGGUUCGGAACCCGGCCCUGGCCCGCGACUCGGACCUACCCCGAGCAGGGCCCCGGUGAGGCCGCGGUGCCCCCGCUUUCAGAGCCCCGCCGCGCGCGGAACCGCAGGAGCAGGACGUCCACCGGCGGUUUGCGAGCGGCGGGCUCGGGAUUCUAGGCUUCUCCUAUUGUGACUAUUUGUAGUUUGUAAGUUUUUUUCUAGUGAACACUGUGGUGCUUUUUCAUUAAGAGCGGCGAUUUUUUCAAGGCGCCUGCAGAAGUUGAGCGGCCCGGCCCCGCAGUGUGAGCGGCCCCUUUCCAGACUGCAGGACUGCGCGUUCCUGGGCCCGGGACCCGGCUCCUCCUCCCUCGGCUCCCCGGCCGGCCCCGCCCCGCCCCCGCCCAUGCCCCGCCCUCCACUCCUGACCCCGCCCCUCCCCCGGCUGCGGCGAAAAUCCGGAGUGGCGGAUUGCCCUCUGCUCCGCGGGAGCCGGCUGUGGGCUCCUGCAGGAGCGGUGCCGGGGGUGCGGCUGACGCCGCUCCGCGCUCCCUCUUCUCACUCUGUCCUGGGCGAGCCACGCGGGGCAGCGCCGCGACCCCAGCCGCCGGCCCUGCCUCAGAAGCGGGUCAGGACCCGACUGAGCAUGCUCGCCCUCCAGCGCAGCGUGGCUCGACCAGGUGGACGCUGCCGGGACCCGGGGUCGGACCGCGCAGGGGAGGCGCAGGUGCGUGGUCCGGCCGCAGGUGCAGGGGACCUGGCUGGAAGGCGGGGGAGGGGCAUCUGGCCUGCAGAACCUCGCUCCACCUCGGAUGCGCUUGAGGUGGGCAUAGGAAUUUGCUUCGAAGCCUGUAACGGAAAAGAAGACGGGAAUGGAGGGCUUACAGGGAAGAGAUUUCACAGGUUCUAGAUGAAUAAAUUCAACCCAGACAGAUGCUUUCAGGCUUGCCAGCCAGCCUGUCCCAGCUCUGCGUCUCUCCAGCUUCCUUCCUAAAUCACCACCACCACCUGCCCUAGGAGUGGAGCCCUUGGGUUGGAGCCAGCUGAUUGGAUGUGAGCUCUAAGGUGAGCGUUUUGCUCAAGAACUGUAGCUGCUAGAAGGUAUAUAACAUCUCAUUCAGAUGCCAGGAAAAGAAGAAGUGGGGUGGAGAUGUUUGUGCAUCUAACGGGUGGGUGGCGGGAAUGACAAUGACAUAAAUCUCCUAAUUCCAUAAGGACGUGGGACUCUCUGCUGACUGGGUCUUAGAACACUGGUAAAUUGUUCCACAGCAGUAGAAAGGGAUGCGGGGUUUUUAGGACACAUCCUAAGGAGAUCCCAUUCUUGUCGGUAUUCCACGUGCAUGCACAGACAACAGCUAAAAGGAAAUGAUGAUACAUGUUGGGGGUGAGGGAGCCAGUCGCUUUUAAUUUAUUCCUUAUACUUCCUGGAUUAUGUGAGAAAAAUUUAAAUAGCACAUAUUAAUUUAAUAAUCAGAUGGGGAAAAAUAGAGAUCUUAGAAGCUGAGAAAGAAAAUCAUUAAGGGUCUAUCCUACAUACCUCUAAGGACUGUGGUCAAUUGAAAUGAUGUAGCUGAAACAAAAGAGUUUUUGAAAGUUGUGCGGUGUCUUAAGAAAACAGUGUGGUAUAUUUUUCUAUNGCAUAUGGAGGUUCCCAGGCUUAGGGUCGAAUCGGAGCUGUGGUGGCCGGCCUAUGCCAGAGCCACCACAACACAGCAUCCGAGCUGCGUCUGCGACCUACACCACAGCCCACGGCAACGCUGGAUCCUUAACCCACUGGGCGAGGCCAGGGAUCGAACCCACAACCUCAUGGUUCCUAGUCGGAUUUGCUAACCACUAUGCCACAACAGGAACUCCAUAUCCUACAUGCCUCUAAGGACUGUGGUCGAUUGAAAUGAUGUAGCUGAUACAAAAGUGUUUUUGAAAGUUGUGCAAUGUUUUAAAGA